RNAcentral lists this ribosomal RNA (253 nucleotides) under uncultured bacterium. RNAcentral describes it as "partial 16S ribosomal RNA". It matches the Rfam family "Bacterial small subunit ribosomal RNA", at positions 524 to 776 of the family's 1533-position model. The record is from RNAcentral.
UACGUAGGGGGCUAGCGUUGUCCGGAUUUAUUGGGCGUAAAGAGCGUGUAGGCGGCCAAGUAGGUCCGUUGUGAAAACUGGAGGCUUAACCUCCAGCUGUCGAUGGAAACCAUUUGGCUAGAGUCCGGAAGAGGAGAGUGGAAUUCCUGGUGUAGCGGUGAAAUGCGCAGAUAUCAGGAAGAACACCCGUGGCGAAGGCGGCUCUCUGGGACGGUACUGACGCUGAGACUCGAAAGCGUGGGUAGCAAACAGG